RNAcentral lists this small RNA (899 nucleotides) under Pongo abelii (Sumatran orangutan). Its description in RNAcentral is "retained intron". Lineage: Eukaryota; Metazoa; Chordata; Mammalia; Primates; Hominidae. The record is from RNAcentral.
UCCCCAUCACCACCAGCACUCCCACAUCCACUCGCACCUGCACCUGCACCAGCAAGAUGCUAUCCAUGCAGCCUCUGCCUCGGUGCACCCUCUCAUUGACCCCCUGGCCUCAGGGUCUCACCUUACCCGGAUCCCCUACCCAGCUGGAACUCUCCCUAACCCCCUGCUUCCUCACCCUCUGCACGAGAACGAAGUUCUUCGUCACCAGCUCUUUGCUGCCCCUUACCGGGACCUGCCGGCCUCCCUUUCUGCCCCGAUGUCAGCAGCUCAUCAGCUGCAGGCCAUGCACGCACAGUCAGCUGAGCUGCAGCGCUUGGCGCUGGAACAGCAGCAGUGGCUGCAUGCCCAUCACCCUCUGCACAGUGUGCCGCUGCCUGCCCAGGAGGACUACUACAGGUACCCUAGGGUGCCCCAGCCCAGGGGACAUGGGCUCAGCGAGCCUGGGAGGGGCUGUGGGCAUGGUACGGCUGGGCACUGUGCUCCUGGGGGAGGGAACCCCUCCUCUCCCAACCCCUUUGGUAAGAGGGGGCAAGGUCAGGGUUGGUCUCAAGCCUCUUACCUCUCUGCUAUGCACUGCCCCUUCCCUAGUCACCUGAAGAAGGAAAGCGACAAGCCACUGUAGAACCUGCGAUCAAGAGAGCACCAUGGCUCCUACAUUGGACCUUGGAGCACCCCCACCCUUCCCCCACCCCGCCCUUGGCCUGCCACCUAGAGCCAAGAAGGUGCUGCUCAGUUGCAGGGCCUCCGCAGCUGGACAGAGAGUGGGGGAGGGAGGGACAGACAGAAGGCCAAGGCCCGGUGUGGUGUGCAGAGGUGGGGAGGUGGCGAGGAUGGGGACAGAAAGCGCACAGAAUCUUGGACCAGGUCUCUCUUCCUUGUCCCCCCUGCUUUUCUCCUCC